CUGAGUGUAUCCCACAGCAGCAGUACUCAGAGGCUGAAGCAGAGCAGCAGGUUCUGUCAUCUAUCAGGCAAUAUUCUGCAGGUUACGGGCUCCCUUGUGGUCCUGCUGACUUCAAUAGGAAACCCUUAAACACAACUUCUUCAUCAGCAGCAGCCUCCCUUAUCCUGCUGGCCCUCUCAAACUGGACCUCUCUUGAGGAGG
Long non-coding RNA from Oncorhynchus gorbuscha (pink salmon), 201 nucleotides. RefSeq lists it as uncharacterized. NCBI's taxonomy places the organism in Eukaryota, Metazoa, Chordata, Actinopteri, Salmoniformes, Salmonidae. The transcript has 3 exons. The record is from RefSeq and is a predicted model, not a curated record.